AGUGGACGCUGGCGGUAGGCCUAACACAUGCAAGUCGAACGGCAGCACAGUAAGAGCUUGCUCUUACGGGUGGCGAGUGGCGGACGGGUGAGAAAUACAUCGGAAUCUACUUUUUCGUGGGGGAUAACGUAGGGAAACUUACGCUAAUACCGCAUACGACCUACGGGUGAAAGCAGGGGAUCUUCGGACCUUGCGCGAUUGAAUGAGCCGAUGUCGGAUUAGCUAGUUGGCGGGGUAAAGGCCCACCAAGGCGACGAUCCGUAGCUGGUCUGAGAGGAUGAUCAGUCACACUGGAACUGAGACACGGUCCAGACUCCUACGGGAGGCAGCAGUGGGGAAUAUUGGACAAUGGGCGCAAGCCUGAUCCAGCCAUACCGCGUGGGUGAAGAAGGCCUUCGGGUUGUAAAGCCCUUUUGUUGGGAAAGAAAAGCAGCAGGUUAAUACCCCGCUGUUCUGACGGUACCCAAAGAAUAAGCACCGGCUAACUUCGUG
RNAcentral lists this ribosomal RNA (492 nucleotides) under uncultured bacterium. RNAcentral describes it as "partial 16S ribosomal RNA". It matches the Rfam family "Bacterial small subunit ribosomal RNA", at positions 29 to 507 of the family's 1533-position model. The record is from RNAcentral.